UGUGUAAGUUCCCCACAGAGCUAUUUUCUAAAUUGUCUGAGAAAGUAUAGUGGAGCUUACUGAAAAGAAGAAUAAAUGUUUCUCUUACCCUUAUGGUUGGCAAGAAGAAAGAAGCUGAUUGUCAGAAGUUUUCAACAUAUGCUUGGACAGAGAAUCCUUGAAUUUGGUAGAGCUAGGAAGAGCAUUUGUACAUUAUCAUUCAGAGAGCCAAUGGGAUACUCCUGUGUGACUCGAUGCACUUCAUUGGCAGCACAAAAUUACUUUACCUACUACAUAUGCUAGAGAGAGAGCACAAGCAGGG
Non-coding RNA from Leptonychotes weddellii (Weddell seal), 301 nucleotides. The record is from RefSeq and is a predicted model, not a curated record. Lineage: Eukaryota; Metazoa; Chordata; Mammalia; Carnivora; Phocidae.